GAUGAAGAACGUAGCGAAAUGCGAUAAGUAAUGUGAAUUGCAGAAUUCAGUGAAUCAUCGAAUCUUUGAACGCACAUUGCGCCCGCCAGUAUUCUGGCGGGCAUGCCUGUCUGAGCGUCAUUUCAACCCUCAUGCCCCUAGGGCGUGGUGUUGGGGAUCGGCCAAAGCCCGCGAGGGACGGCCGGCCCCUAAAUCUAGUGGCGGACCCGUCGUGGCCUCCUCUGCGAAAUAGUGAUAUUCCGCAUCGGAGAGCGACGAGCCCCUGCCGUUAAACCCCCAACUUUCCAAGGUUGACCUCAGAUCAGGUAGGAAUACCCGCUGAACUUAAGCAUAUCAAUAAGCGGAGGA
Molecule: unclassified non-coding RNA, 348 nt
Filed under: soil metagenome
Description: partial contains 5.8S ribosomal RNA, internal transcribed spacer 2, and large subunit ribosomal RNA
Rfam family: 5.8S ribosomal RNA (bases 1-120)
Source: RNAcentral